RNAcentral lists this ribosomal RNA (860 nucleotides) under Cladosporium ramotenellum. RNAcentral describes it as "partial large subunit ribosomal RNA". It matches the Rfam family "Eukaryotic large subunit ribosomal RNA", at positions 50 to 936 of the family's 3401-position model. The record is from RNAcentral. Lineage: Eukaryota; Fungi; Ascomycota; Dothideomycetes; Cladosporiales; Cladosporiaceae.
GCGGAGGAAAAGAAACCAACAGGGAUUGCUCUAGUAACGGCGAGUGAAGCAGCAAUAGCUCAAAUUUGAAAUCUGGCGUCUUCGACGUCCGAGUUGUAAUUUGUAGAGGAUGCUUCUGAGUGGCCACCGACCUAAGUUCCUUGGAACAGGACGUCAUAGAGGGUGAGAAUCCCGUAUGCGGUCGGAAAGGCGCUCUAUACGUAGCUCCUUCGACGAGUCGAGUUGUUUGGGAAUGCAGCUCUAAAUGGGAGGUAAAUUUCUUCUAAAGCUAAAUAUUGGCCAGAGACCGAUAGCGCACAAGUAGAGUGAUCGAAAGAUGAAAAGCACUUUGGAAAGAGAGUUAAAAAGCACGUGAAAUUGUUAAAAGGGAAGGGAUUGCAACCAGACUUGCUCGCGGUGUUCCGCCGGUCUUCUGACCGGUCUACUCGCCGCGUUGCAGGCCAGCAUCGUCUGGUGCCGCUGGAUAAGACUUGAGGAAUGUAGCUCCCUCGGGAGUGUUAUAGCCUCUUGUGAUGCAGCGAGCGCCGGGCGAGGUCCGCGCUUCGGCUAGGAUGCUGGCGUAAUGGUCGUAAUCCGCCCGUCUUGAAACACGGACCAAGGAGUCUAACAUCUAUGCGAGUGUUCGGGUGUCAAACCCCUACGCGUAAUGAAAGUGAACGGAGGUGAGAACCGCAAGGUGCAUCAUCGACCGAUCCUGAUGUCUUCGGAUGGAUUUGAGUAAGAGCAUAGCUGUUGGGACCCGAAAGAUGGUGAACUAUGCCUGAAUAGGGUGAAGCCAGAGGAAACUCUGGUGGAGGCUCGCAGCGGUUCUGACGUGCAAAUCGAUCGUCAAAUUUGGGUAUAGGGGCGAAAGACUAAUC